GGGGUUGUAGCUCAGUGGUAGAGCACUUGCCUAGUAUGUGUGAGACAUGGGGUUCAAUCCUCAGCACCA
This 69-nucleotide transfer RNA is filed under the name Ictidomys tridecemlineatus (thirteen-lined ground squirrel). RNAcentral describes it as "Spermophilus tridecemlineatus (thirteen-lined ground squirrel) tRNA". It matches the Rfam family "tRNA". From Rfam's summary of the family: Transfer RNA (tRNA) molecules are approximately 80 nucleotides in length. Their secondary structure includes four short double-helical elements and three loops (D, anti-codon, and T loops). The record is from Rfam by way of RNAcentral. Lineage: Eukaryota; Metazoa; Chordata; Mammalia; Rodentia; Sciuridae.